AUUGAACGCUGGCGGCAGGCCUAACACAUGCAAGUCGAACGGUAACAGGAAGAAGCUUUCUUCUUUGCUGACGAGUGGCGGACGCGGGCGUAAUGUCUGUGAAAAUGCCCGAUGGAGGGGGGUAACUACUGGGAACGGUAGCGAAUACCCCACAUCGUCGCAAGACCAAAAAGGAGGACCUUCGGGCCCCUUGCCCUCUGAUGUGCCCCGAUGGGAUUUGCUAGUAGGUGGGGUAAAGGCUCACCCAGGCGACGAUCCCUAGCUGGUCUGAGAGGAUGACCAGCCACACUGGAACUGAGAAACGGUCCAGACUCCUACGGGAGGCAGCAGUGGGGAAUAUUGGACAAUGGGCGCAAGCCUGAUGCAGCCAUGCCGCGUGUAUGAAGAAGGCCUUCGGGUUGUAAAGUACUUUUGGCGGGGAGGAAGGGAAGAAAGUUAAUACCUUGGCGCAUUGACGGUACCCGCAGAAUAAGCACCGGCUAACUCCGUG
This 490-nucleotide ribosomal RNA is filed under the name uncultured bacterium. RNAcentral's name for it is "partial 16S ribosomal RNA". It matches the Rfam family "Bacterial small subunit ribosomal RNA", at positions 30 to 507 of the family's 1533-position model. The record is from RNAcentral.